UGGGGAAUUUUGGACAAUGGGCGAAAGCCUGAUCCAGCAAUGCCGCGUGUGUGAAGAAGGCCUUCGGGUUGUAAAGCACUUUUGUCCGGAAAGAAAUCCUUGGCUCUAAUACAGUCGGGGGAUGACGGUACCGGAAGAAUAAGCACCGGCUAACUACGUGCCAGCAGCCGCGGUAAUACGUAGGGUGCAAGCGUUAAUCGGAAUUACUGGGCGUAAAGCGUGCGCAGGCGGUUUGCUAAGACCGAUGUGAAAUCCCCGGGCUCAACCUGGGAACUGCAUUGGUGACUGGCAGGCUAGAGUAUGGCAGAGGGGGGUAGAAUUCCACGUGUAGCAGUGAAAAUGCGUAGAGAUGUGGAGGAAUACCGAUGGCGAAGGCAGCCCCCUGGGCCAAUACUGACGCUCAUGCACGAAAAGCGUGGGGGAGCAAACAGGAUUAGAUACCCUGGUAGUCCACGCCCUAAAACGAUGUCAACUAGUUGUUGGGGAUUCAUUUCCUUAGUAACGUAGCUAACGCGUGAAGUUGACCGCCUGGGGAGUACGGUCGCAAGAUUAAAAACUUCAAAAUGGAAUUGACGGGGUCAUAGCUGUUUCCU
This 593-nucleotide ribosomal RNA is filed under the name uncultured bacterium. Its description in RNAcentral is "partial 16S ribosomal RNA". It matches the Rfam family "Bacterial small subunit ribosomal RNA", at positions 355 to 1375 of the family's 1533-position model. The record is from RNAcentral.